Molecule: ribosomal RNA, 781 nt
Filed under: uncultured marine bacterium
Lineage: Bacteria
Description: bacterial SSU rRNA
Rfam family: Bacterial small subunit ribosomal RNA
Source: RNAcentral
UGAUCCUGGCUCAGAUUGAACGCUGGCGGCAGGCCUAACACAUGCAAGUCGAACGGUAACAGGAUAGCUUGCUAUCGCUGACGAGUGGCGGACGGGUGAGUAAUACUUAGGGAUCUGCCUCUGUGUGGGGGAUAACUAUUGGAAACGAUAGCUAAUACCGCAUAAUGUCUACGGACCAAAGCGGGCUUCGGCUCGUGCGCAGAGAGGAACCUAAGCGAGAUUAGCUAGUUGGUGAGGUAAAGGCUCACCAAGGCGACGAUCUCUAGCUGUUCUGAGAGGAAGAUCAGCCACACUGGAACUGAGACACGGUCCAGACUCCCACGGGAGGCAGCAGUGGGGAAUAUUGCACAAUGGGGGAAACCCUGAUGCAGCCAUGCCGCGUGUGUGAAGAAGGCCUUCGGGUUGUAAAGCACUUUCAGUUGUGAGGAAAGUUUAGUAGUUAAUACCUGCUAGAUGUGACGUUAGCAACAGAAGAAGCACCGGCUAACUCCGUGCCAGCAGCCGCGGUAAUACGGAGGGUGCGAGCGUUAAUCGGAAUUACUGGGCGUAAAGCGCACGCAGGCGGUCUGUUAAGCUAGAUGUGAAAGCCCCGCGCUCAACGUGGGAGGGUCAUUUAGAACUGGCAGACUAGAGUCUUGGAGAGGGGAGUGGAAUUCCAGGUGUAGCGGUGAAAUGCGUAGAGAUCUGGAGGAACAUCAAUGGCGAAGGCAACUCCCUGGCCAAAGACUGACGCUCAUGUGCGAAAGUGUGGGUAGCGAACAGGAUUAGAUACCCUGGUAGU